GGAGAGAUGGCAGAGUGGUCGAUUGCGGCGGUCUUGAAAACCGUUGAACUGAAAGGUUCCUGGGGUUCGAAUCCCUAUCUCUCCGCAA
RNAcentral lists this transfer RNA (88 nucleotides) under Parabacteroides sp. AF14-59. RNAcentral describes it as "tRNA-Ser". It matches the Rfam family "tRNA". Rfam says of the family: Transfer RNA (tRNA) molecules are approximately 80 nucleotides in length. Their secondary structure includes four short double-helical elements and three loops (D, anti-codon, and T loops). Further hydrogen bonds mediate the characteristic L-shaped molecular structure. tRNAs have two regions of fundamental functional importance: the anti-codon, which is responsible for specific mRNA codon recognition, and the 3' end, to which the tRNAs corresponding amino acid is attached (by aminoacyl-tRNA synthetases). tRNAs cope with the degeneracy of the genetic code in two manners: having more than one tRNA (with a specific anti-codon) for a particular amino acid; and 'wobble' base-pairing, i.e. permitting non-standard base-pairing at the 3rd anti-codon position. Lineage: Bacteria; Pseudomonadati; Bacteroidota; Bacteroidia; Bacteroidales; Tannerellaceae. RNAcentral also lists the same sequence under 1 other name. The record is from RNAcentral.